CUAUGGCAAGAAAAUUUGUCAUGGCGGAAGGAG
Molecule: non-coding RNA, 33 nt
Filed under: unclassified sequences
Description: L31-Firmicutes ribosomal protein leader
Rfam family: L31-Firmicutes ribosomal protein leader
Source: RNAcentral